GAUGAACGCUGGCGGCGUGCCUAAUACAUGCAAGUCGAGCGAACAGACGAGGAGCUUGCUCCUCUGACGUUAGCGGCGGACGGGUGAGUAACACGUGGAUAACCUACCUAUAAGACUGGGAUAACUUCGGGAAACCGGAGCUAAUACCGGAUAAUAUAUUUAACCGCAUGGUUCAAUAGCGAAAGACGGUUUUGCUGUCACUUAUAGAUGGAUCCGCGCCGCAUUAGCUAGUUGGUAAGGUAACGGCUUACCAAGGCAACGAUGCGUAGCCGACCUGAGAGGGUGAUCGGCCACACUGGAACUGAGACACGGUCCAGACUCCUACGGGAGGCAGCAGUAGGGAAUCUUCCGCAAUGGGCGAAAGCCUGACGGAGCAACGCCGCGUGAGUGAUGAAGGUCUUCGGAUCGUAAAACUCUGUUAUUAGGGAAGAACAAAUGUGUAAGUAACUAUGCACGUCUUGACGGUACCUAAUCAGAAAGCCACGGCUAACUACGUG
Molecule: ribosomal RNA, 497 nt
Filed under: uncultured bacterium
Lineage: Bacteria
Description: partial 16S ribosomal RNA
Rfam family: Bacterial small subunit ribosomal RNA
Source: RNAcentral